GUUUUGUAAGAGUAUUUGGAGGACCGCCUGGACGUGGUGGAUGUGGUCCUCCAUGGAUCUGGAAAACACUAGGAUGUCGUCCAGGUAUACAAAGACAAACUUGUCAAGCAUGUCCCGUAGGACGUCGUUGACCAUGGACUGGAAGACGGCUGGGGCGUUGGUGAGGCCAAAGGGCAUGACCAGAUACUCGUAGUGGCCGGUGGGCGUAUUGAAAGCUGUCUUCCACUCGUCCCCCUCUCGGAUGCGGACCAGGUGAUACGCGUUUCGAAGGUCCAGUUUGGUGAAAACAGUGGCCCCCUCCAGGAGUUCAAACACUGAGGAGAUGAGGGGGAGCGGGUAUCGGUUCUUUACCGUGAUGUCAUUGAGGCCCCGAUAGUCUAUGCAGGGUCUCAACGUUUUGUCCUUCUUCUGGACAAAAAAGAACCCAGCCCCAGCCGGGGACGAGGAGGGACGGAUGAUGCCGGCGGACAGAGAGUCGUUGAUGUAAUCCUCCAUUGCCUUUCUCUCUGGGGCCGAGAUGGAGUAGAGGCGGCCCCGGGGAGGGCUAGUGCCAGGGAGGAGGUCAAUGGCACAGUCAUACGGCCGGUGCGGAGGCAGGGAGGUAGCCUUUGACUUGCUGAAGACCUCUUUGAAAUCGUGGUAUUCAGCCGGGACGCCCGCCAGGUCCGGGGCUGAAGUGGGGCAGGAUGGGGGCUGGGGGACGAGGGCUUGUUUCAGGCAGACUUGAUGACAGGCUGUGCUCCACCCCAGGAUGGACCCUGUCGCCCAGUCGAUGUGUGGGUUAUGACGGUGAAGCCAGGGGAACCCCAGGAGGAGCGGGAUCCGAGUUGAGUCCAGGAUGUGAAAAGAAAUCGACUCAUGGUGGUUCCCGGAGAGCAGCAUCUGGACAGGGACAGUCUGGUGGGUCACCAUUCCGAGGGCGUGACCAUCCAGGGCAUUGGCGGGCACGGGCUGAGGCACUCUCUCAAUCCCCAACUGCCAGGCUAACUCGCUGUUGAUAAUGGAUACGUCGGCCCCUGAGUCAAUGAACACCGCCAGGGUGUGGGAACCCCCUGGCACCAGCAGGCGGCAGCGGCAGAUUGGUCUCUUGAUGGGGGACAGUUUGGAAGGAGGGCUCACCGGUGCGUCCCCAAUCACUGGUGAGCCUUGGCUUUUCCCGGGCACUUGGAGACAAAGUGUCCCUCUCCCCCACAG
Molecule: long non-coding RNA, 1194 nt
Organism: Gasterosteus aculeatus aculeatus (three-spined stickleback)
Lineage: Eukaryota; Metazoa; Chordata; Actinopteri; Perciformes; Gasterosteidae
Source: Ensembl